Molecule: ribosomal RNA, 368 nt
Filed under: uncultured bacterium
Lineage: Bacteria
Description: partial 16S ribosomal RNA
Rfam family: Bacterial small subunit ribosomal RNA
Source: RNAcentral
CCUACGGGUGGCAGCAGUGGGGAAUCUUCCGCAAUGGGCGAAAGCCUGACGGAGCAACGCCGCGUGCUCGAAUGAAGGCCUUUGGGUUGUAAAGAUCUGUUGACAGGGGCGAAUAAGCAAUGCAAAUAGUUUUGUGUAUGACGGGACCUGUUUAGAAAGCUCCGGCUAACUACGUGCCAGCAGCCGCGUUAAUACGUAGGGAGCAAGCGUUGGCCGGAUUUACUGGGCGUAAAGGGCGCGUAGGCGGGCGCUUAAGUGAGGUGUGAAAACUCCGGGCUCAACCUGGUGACUGCACUUGAAACUGGGUGUCUAGAGGGCAGGAGAGGAAAGUGGAAUUCCUAGUGUAGCGGUGAAAUGCGUAGAUAUUA